This is a long non-coding RNA of Oreochromis aureus, 550 nucleotides long. RefSeq lists it as uncharacterized. Lineage: Eukaryota; Metazoa; Chordata; Actinopteri; Cichliformes; Cichlidae. The record is from RefSeq and is a predicted model, not a curated record. The transcript is spliced from 3 exons.
UCUGCACUUCCAACACAGAGGAUCAAAACACAGAUAGACCAGUCGCAGACAGUAAUGGAUGGAUGGAUGAAUGAAUAUGAAGCCAGUGCAGAAGUGCCAAAAGCAGCAUUUCAACAUGAAAUGAUGAUUUGACGCUGCCCCUAAAAAGUCCAACUCCAGGGAAGAACUUAACAUGUUUACUUGAGGCAGACAUCUAUAGCUGGUUUGGCCCUUCACAACAAAUGUACAGUGGGAAGAUUUUGGCCAGCUUGGCAGCCUAUGUGUUGCUCGUGUUCAGAAGUUUGAUGGCUUGAGGAAUAAAAGACCGUUUGGACCUGCUUUUGGUGAACAAUGGGUCUCAUUCGUGCAACCUGCAUCCUUCCCACCUCCAGCUCAUUCUGGCCAGUUAGAGAUCCUCAUCCAAGUCUCCACCUGCCUCAUUUCUUCCGCUACAACCAGUGUCGAGAUUCCGGGGGGUCCUGACCUACUUCUACCACUUUGGACUCCACUCUGCUGUGUAACUUGGUGUAAUCACCAAACAACUUUUUACUCAAACUCUGUUCUUCUAUAA